CGACCCCAGGUCAGGCGGGACUACCCGCUGAAUUUAAGCAUAUCAAUAAGCGG
RNAcentral lists this ribosomal RNA (53 nucleotides) under Melica bulbosa. RNAcentral's name for it is "partial 26S ribosomal RNA". The record is from RNAcentral. Lineage: Eukaryota; Viridiplantae; Streptophyta; Magnoliopsida; Poales; Poaceae.